This 253-nucleotide ribosomal RNA is filed under the name uncultured bacterium. Its description in RNAcentral is "partial 16S ribosomal RNA". It matches the Rfam family "Bacterial small subunit ribosomal RNA", at positions 524 to 776 of the family's 1533-position model. The record is from RNAcentral.
UACGUAGGGGGCGAGCGUUAUCCGGAUUUACUGGGCGUAAAGCGCGUGUAGGCGGUACUCUAAGUCCGGGGUGAAAUCCGGGGGCUUAACCCCCGAACGGCGCCGGAAACUGGAGUGCUUGAGUGUCGGAGAGGGGAGUGGAAUUCUCGGUGUAGCGGUGAAAUGCGUAGAGAUCGAGAGGAACACCCGUGGCGAAGGCGGCUCCCUGGCCGAACACUGACGCUGAGACGCGAAAGCGUGGGGAGCGAACGGG